GGCCUAGAAACUCACUUUACUCGGUCCGUCACUAAGCAAACGCACCCCCCCUUUUCAAUUACCCUUCAUUCCCCAUCUCCCCCAAACCCUAAAGACGCCAACCUUCAUCCCUUUCUCUUUAUCACCCAAACGACCACCAACUCCUAGACCACAUGCCCAAACGACCAGCUCCAAAUGACCCUCGCCACUGACCAGAUCCACCCGUUCAGCUCACCGUCGACGAGCAUCACCUCCAGCCAAACGUCGGCCUCCAUCAAUAACCAAGGUCACUGACCAAACGAUCACACAAUUCCUUCACCAUACCAGCCUCACGCCUUCCAAACACACUGACCAAACGACCCUUCAGUCGUACAACAACCAUUGUUGCUGCUUCGCUUAUGCUUCCUCACCCCCAGCAGCAACCAAACGACCCUUUUCCAUUAUCGUCCAAACGACCACUGCUCGUCCUCAAUCCUUCAGUCGUCGUCUUUUGAGUUCAAGUCUGUCCGUCGGAAUUCCCAUUUUUCCGGCAAGGUCUGGUUCUGUUCCUAACUCCAAGGUUUGGUUUUGUUUACUUUUUGUUGGUUUUCAUUUGUUGCACGGUUCAAGUUUGGGUAGCUAUGGAAUAUUUUUUAUCUCUCUAAGGCCGGUCAGUCCAUUCAGCAUAUUAUUAGUGAUCAUUCAAUUUUUUUUAUCUAAGGUUAAUCGUUAUUUUUGUUCCAAUAUGGUUAGUUUGCUUCCUUGUAUAGGUGUGAAUCAAUUUUGACCUUAUUAGUUCAAUACAAUAGUUUUGAAUCAUUGAACCCUUGAUCUUGGUUGUAAUGAUGUUGGGUUUACUUUGAAGUUCGAUUGAUGAUUGAGUUUAGUGAUUUGAAUCUGCGUGUUUGUUCUGUUAAGUUUGUUUCUGGUAUGAAUCUGAUCUUGUUGACUUGUCCUAAUGUUGUUGAUUGGGAGUUAGUUUCAUGUGUUUAAUAGUCUAUUAUUAGGAGGAUUGGAUAUAGCUGAUGGGGUAGCAUGGUAAUUACAGUAAUCUCAAGGGGUAUUUUGGGGUUUUCAAAAAGAUUGAAAUGGUCAUAUUAGUGGUUUGUCCAGUAGGGUACUAAGUUGCCAUUUGAAAUAAUAAAUUGUUUAAGUGAUAGUGGGGAACAAAACAUAAUGGUAUAGGGGGACCACUAAGUCUAAAGUAAUACACUAAUGAAUUAGUCAAAAGAGGGGACAAUUUUAAGUGGGAUUGAAAGUUAAAAGACAACUAAUAGUGGAAGACUACUUUCUGCUUUUGGUAGAUCAAUUUGAGAAUAAUUAACUAUCCACUAAGGCCUAAAAAUCCAGAAAAGAAAAGAUGAUUGAAAAUUAGAGAAUGGAAUAAAAUGGAGAACGUUUUUCUUGAAGUGGGGAUCAGUUUUUAGGACUGGAUUUUGAAUGUAAAAAAUGGGUCAGAGAUUGAGAGAAAAACUAAAGAAAUUUGUUUUAUUUUACUACUGAAAUUAUUAUUAGUUACUGUUUUACUUGAGAGUUAGAGAACCUGAGAGUUUUCAUUGCAUCUCUUGGUUAAGUCUGUUUUGUUUCUGGUCUAUCUGUGUUGCUGUUUGGUACUUCUGAAUUGCAAUUUGUGGUCCUGAGUUUGCUGCUGGUUAAACAAAACUGUUCCAUUGGUUGUUUGCUGGGUUUUAAUCUGCCUAUUGCUGGUUGUUGUUGUUUGCUACUGUUCUACUAAUUCUCAUCUUCUUCUUCUCUUGUUUCCAAUAUGAGGUACACAACUGAUACACAUUGUAAGCUGAAAUAUUGAAGCAUGAAUGCAUAUAAAAUGGAAGUUGAAGUUUUAAUUUAACUUAUUCUUUUCUUUCCUCUGACUGCCGCCUAAUAUUGUUAUAUAGAACUCUGCCAUGUGAAAUGCAUAACUGGACAAUCUUUUUUUUUUAUAGUAGUUUAGCUGUGAACUUCCCAUGUAUGCUCUUAGAUAAAAAGGAUUGAUGGUGUAGUAAACAAUUUUCUGUUAUUUUAGUUUGCUUGUUAAGUAGCAUAUUUCAAACGCAUGUCAUGUCUUAGGCCAUUUUAAUUACUAGGUAAUCUAAGUUACCUCAUUUAACAGACUUCCUCUCUUAAACUUGCAACAAUUUGUUAAUUAAAUAUCAUCAUUUUUACAUUUCAGCUUUGCAAAACUGUGAACCUGUGUAGAAUAAAUUAACUAGGCCCAAUAUUUGAAUAAGAUGGCCCAGGUCCAGUUUAACACUACAUGAGUUGGACAUGGGCCCAUGUUGGCAAACGAACUGUCCAUAUGCACGCCUAUAUUCUGAUGUUUACAGACUUUGUUCGGAACUUGAUAAUAGCAAUUCUUAAGCAUGUAAUUUAAUUAGGUCUUUUUUCUUCUUUCAUUUUUAGAGACGAACUUAAUAGAAAAACGUAGUCACAAUAGGAUGAUCCUUUUAAAAUAAGCGAGAUGAGCCCGCCAAGUAGAACGCACAAGUUGCAGGGCCCUCAAUAAAUGAAUAUAAUGAUUGGAUAGACUUCGGGAUAGGCCGUUUAGAAAAUUUCACGGCCUUACUCAAAAUAAUAAUACGCUAGUAGCUUUAGGUGCGUCUUUAAUAAAUUACUUUCUUAAAUUUGGGUUUGUAUUUAUGUGACCCAAAUCCAAAUCUCAACGGAGUCGAAAUGUGUCGAUAACCAUGGGUACAUUGAUUGUGACGUGGUUCGAGAUGCGUUUUCAUAAUAUUGCAAUUCUUUGUUAAAACAACAACAACAACAACAACAACAACAAUAAUAAUAAUAAUAAUAAUAAUAAUAAUAAUAAAGUGGCAAAAGAGUUAUAACUUGCAUAUAAGUUCAUAUUUGUAUAAAAAUCAAAUAAAUAAUCUAAAUAUGACAGUUUAGCGACAAUGCUAGAACCACGAAAUUCGGAAAUGCCUAACAUCUUCUCCGGGGUUAACAGAAUUCCUUAUCCGGAUUUCUGGUGCGCUGACUGUUAAACAGAGUCAUUCUUUUCCCCGAUUCGGGAUUAAAACCGGUGACUUGGGACACCAUAAAUCUCCCAAGUGGCGACUCUGAAUCCUAAUUAUUAAGUCUCAUUUCGAUUGUCCUUUAAUUGGAAAAACUCCACUAUGCCCCUGCGGGCGCGGGUAAAAUGGAGGUGUGACAGACGAAUGUCACCAAACGUAAGCUCCUUAAAAUCUCCACUUUCUUUUAUUUUCAGAAUGCAUCAUUACUGUUCAUACCUCCCAUUUUACGUAGCUUAACUCAGGUAGAACCAUUUCGCCUAGGGGAUCCAGCUCAUAGUUCCGGGUAGAAGUAUUCUUCGCUUAGGGUGUUUUACGUAGCUUAACUCAGGUAGAACUGUUUCACCUAGGGGAUCCAGCUCAUAGUUUCGGAUAGAAGUACUCUUCGCUCAUGGUAUUUUACGUAGCUUAAAUCAGGUAGAACUAUUUCGGCUAAGGGGAUCUAGCUCAUAGUUUCGCUCAUAGUUCCAGGUAGAAGUACCCUUCGCUCUGGUGUUUUACGUAGCUUAACUCAAGUAGAACCAUUUUGCCUAGGGGGAUCCAGCUCGUAGUUCCGGGUAGAAGUACUCUCUGCUCAGGGUGUUUUAUGUAGCUUAACUCAGGUAGAACCAUUUCUUCUAGAGGGAUCCAGCUCAUAGUUCCAGGUAGAAGUAUUCUUCUCUCAGGGUAUUUUAUAUAGCUUCACUUAGGUAGAACCUUUUUCAACUAGGGGGAUCCAGCUCAUAGUCCAUGUAGAAGUACUUAUCGCUUAGGUUAUUUUAUAUAGUUUAACUGAGGUAGAACCUUUUCACCUAUAGGGAUUCAUCAUUUCAUCAAUAACACAGGGCGCCAACCCUAGUUAUAUUCCUUUCAGUAACAGGGCGCCAACCCCUAGUUACUUUGUUUUUUCUGUAAUACAGGGUGCCAACCCCUGGUUCCAUUUCAUUUCAGUAAUACAGGGUACCAGACCCUGAUUACAUUCCUUCCUAGUGAUACAAGGUGCCAACCCUUGGUUAGGUUCCUUAAUACAAGGUGUCAACCCCUGGUUACAUUUCUUCCAGUAGUACAAGGUGCCAAAACCUCGUUACGUUCCUUUCUAGUAAUACAGGGUGUCAAUCCCAUGUUACGUCCCUUUUUAAUAAUAUAGGGUACCAUCCUCUAAUUCCAUUUCCUUUGGUAACAUAAGGUACUAGCCCUCGUGCUUGCAUAUCCUCACAUAGCUAGUUUAUACUACUGCCUUUGCCUUCAUUUCAAUAAAUUAGAUACUUUAUAGCUUUCUCUAACUCACAAAAUUUUCCUUGUGCCAAACUGGGGUAGAAAAGUUUUGUUUGUUUUUUUUCAUCUUUGAUGGCGUUGCAGGCUCCGCCGUAUGGCACAAAUGACGACUAAAGCUUGCAAUUUUAGUUUCUCAUCAGAAGAAAGAAGUUUUCGAUCACAAGACAGUUAGAGUUAGCUUUGAUAAUGUGUCAGCAAGACCAACUUCUCAAGAUCCAUUUUCUUAUAUUCUGAUUCGGAAAGCAAGCAAUCGAGAAGGAGCCCUAAUCUUUUCUUCAAAGAGCAUCAAGAUCCAAUCUAAGGUCAAAACAAGGAGAAUGCCAAGAAUCAAGAUUUGGCUCCACAAGACAUAUAUAUAUAUAUAUAUAUAUAUAUAUAUAUAUAUAUAUAGGAAUUUCGUAACUCUUAGCUUGCAGGCAUAUGUAGUUCUCUUCUCUUUUCCUUUUGAUGUAACAACAAGUAACAAUAACAACAACAAUAGUAGUCUUAAAUCUAGUGUCCGGUAGUCUCAUGUCACGACCCUAGUUCAACAAUCGUGAACCUGUCAUGACGGCACCCAGUCUUUGCGACUAGGUAAGCCUGACACAUCGCCCAAAUUCAACAAUCCUUACGAAAAACGAUAAAUAAAACAUAAAUAGCAUAAGAUAAUGUAUAGAGUGCCGCUUGGCACACACAUGUCGACUCAAGAUAAUGUAAAAAAUUCCAAGACCCGGAAACCCACGGGAAACACAGGCUAAUAGUGAAAUAUAAUAUACGGCUCUAACAACCAGGAGUGUCUACAACUAGUGAGUACAUGAAUGAAACUACUAGCCUAAGGUAGAAUAGAAUGAGACUUUUCGGCUCUGCGGACGCGACAGAUGUAUACCUCGAAUCUCCAAGUGUAGCUGCGAGAUCACUAAUAGCGCUCACAGCCAGAAGUACCUGGAUCUGCAGAACAAAACUAUGCAGAAGAGUAGCAUGAGUACACCACAACGGUACUCAGUAAGUGCCAAGCCUAACCUCGGUUGUGUAGUGACGAGAAAGGUCGAGGCCCUACUGAGAUAAACAUAAGAUUAGAUAUGAAAUGAAUAGACAAUAGGAAAUACAAUAAAUCUCGAUUAUCUAACAAACAAUAAGUAGAACGGAAUAGGCUAGAAAUACAAUCUACGAAUACAAUAUCAACACUCAAAAUCAGGAUGCCACAUGUAGCUCCGGGAAUUGAACUCGCAGUCCAUUUUACAAUUAUCCGAGGAUCUCUAGGAAUCGAACCCGCAGUGCAUCGCCACAUAGAGCUCCGGGAAUUGAACCUACAGUCCACUCUACCAAUAUCCGAGGAACUCCGGGAAUCGAACCCGCAGUCCACUCUACCAAUAUCUGAGGAUCUCCGGGAAUAGAACCCGCACUCCAUCAUACCAAUAUCAGAGGAUCUCCAGGGAAUCAAACUCGUAGUCCAUCAUAUCAAUAACAAAGGAUCUCCCAGGUAUUGAACCCGUAGUCCAUCAUAUCAAUAAUAGAGGAUCUCCUGGGAAUUGAACCCGUAGUCCAUCAUAUCAAUAACAGAGGAUCUUUCGGGAAUUGAACUCGUAGUCCAUCAUAUCAAUAACAAAGGAUCUCCCGGAAAUUGAACUCGUAGUACAUCAUAUCAAUAACAAAGGAUCUCUCGAGAAUUGAACCCGCAGUCUAACAUAUCAGUAAACACAUCACAACAAUUCAAUAUUUUAAAAAAAGAAGCUAAGUACAAGUAACAUGUAAGUUGUAGAGUCUAGAAUGCUCACAAAAAAGGACAGAUAUUGCAAUUUAGUCAGUUACAGCAAAUAAGUUAAAACAUGCUUUCCUUAAGCUAAAACAAGUGAAAUUUGCAUUUUUGACAGUUAAUCAGUGAAGAAACACAGUCUAAAUAAGUCAAGUAAGCUGGAUUUUCAAGAACUAGCACAAGUACACGCCUGUCACCUCGCGCACAAGGCAUUUAAACAAUAAUAAAGAUAUCCUAAGGGGAGAGGUCCCCCACAUAAAGUUAGACAAGUCACUUACCUCGAAUUGGUACAAAACCAAUAAGAAACAAUGCCCUUGCCACGAGUAUCCGACUCCGAGUGGCCCAAAUCUAUUCAAACCAAUUACAUAUUGUAAAUAACAUCGCAAGUAACUAAUUACACUGUUAAAAUUAAAGCAGAAGCAUGAAAAUAUGUGAAAUGACCAAAAUGCCCCUCAGGCCAAUAUCUCGGAAUCGAAUAAUUUUACAUAUUCAGAAACCUGUACUCUUACGAGUCUAACCAAAUAAAAAUCUCCCAAAAUCGGAGGUCAUAUACCCCUUCAAAUCAUCAAAGUUAGGUCUAAAAAUUUUACCCCAAUUUUCAUUCAAAAUCCGAAAUUAAAGCUUGAAUUCGAGAUUAGAUUAGCGAGUAAUAAUCAUAAUGGAGUAAGGAAUUGCUACCCAAUGUUUGCCUCUGAAAAUCCCUCGAAAAAUCUCUCAACACCGAGCUCUCUAGCUUGAGUUUGAUGAAAAUGGAAGAAACCUCGUUUUUGAAAUAUUAAUGUAUGCCUAGGUAUUUAGUGAAUCGCGAUCGCGAAGAGAGGGAUGCGAUGGAGAAGAUUAAAAUAUAGUCUUCCAUAAAAAAGCCCUACACGAUCGCGGAAAAGAGCACGCGAUCGCGAACGAGGAUGAAAUGGCCAUACACGAUCGCGUAAGAAGGAAUGCGAACGUGAAGCGGGGAGAGGUAGAGUUACGCGAUUGCGAUUAAGGAAUUAGGGACCUUACCAGAUUGUACUAUGCGGUCGCGUGAAUUGGAACGUGAUCGUGAAGAAGGAAAAAUUGGUUUGGAACAACUGAAGAAUUCUGCAAUGUUUUCAACUCCAAAAAUGCUCCGUUGAGCAUCUGAAACACACCCGAGGCCCCCGGGACCUCAAUCAAACCUACAGACAUAUCCCAUAAUACCACUCAAACUUGUACCAAUCCUUAAACCAUCUAAAACAACCCCGGAAACUCGAAUUAAUCAAUGAUUUGAACUUAAAAACUUCAAAACAUAACCAAACUCUCGUUCGAUUCAAAACCUAACCAAAACACGUCUGAUUGACCUGAAAGUUUGCACGCACGUCCCAAAUGACAUGACGGUGCUAUAGAAACUUCCGGAAUCCCGUUCCGACCCUCGAAUCAAAAAUUCACUAUCGGACCGGAAACUUCAAAAUUCUAACUUUCGGCAUUUAUAGCCUAAAUGAGCAACGUACAUCCAAAAUACAUUCCGAACACGCUCCCAAACCCCGAAAUCAUCUAACGGGGCUAACGGAACCAACGGUUUUCCAUUCCGAGGUCGUCUUGACACUGUUCUAAUUAUGGACCCUUUUCCAACUCUUAAACUCUCAUUUAGGGACUAAGUGUCCCAAAACACUCCGAAUUCUAUUACCGAACAUCCCGACAAGAAAAAAUAGCAGAAAUGAACUUAGGGGAAGCAGAAAAUGGUCAAACGAGGCAUAAAUUCUAAUGUCCAAAAUACAUUUCGAACACGCUCCCAACCCCCAAAUCACCUAACGGAGCUAAUAGAACCAUCAUGUUUCCAUUCCGAGGUUGUCUUGACAUUGUUCUGAUUACACACCAUUUUUCAACACUUAAGCUCUCAUUUAGGGACUAAGUGUCCCAAACAUUCCGAGUUCUAUUACCGAACAUCCCAGCAAACCAAAAUAGCAGAAAUGAACUUAGGGGAAACAGUUAAUGGGGAAACGGGGCUUAAAUUCCAAAGACGACCGGCCGGGUCGUCACAUCUUAUCUAUCAAUUUUUUCGAGAACUAUACCAACCUGAUUCCUUUAUAGCCAGGGAUAUGUAGCCAACCUCAAAAGCAUGGUUCGAUUACAUUUUUCAAACAUGCUUUCAUCGGAGUGAUACACGAGCAAAAUUAGCUAUGCCAUUUAUUUUCUUUGCAUGAAACUCUUCAUGUUCUCGAGCAAAGAGGGGUAUCUGUAGAUAUCUAAUUUUUGCUCUUUCUUUUUCUCCUACAUUACAUUGUUUUCUAGGUUUAUUAAAUGUGGUUAUAGAAUUUAGCAUUAGAUUAUUAACUAAUUUGUUAAGGGGUUUAAGGGAAUGGAUUAAUGCCCAUUUUAGUUGACCUAUACAAAACUCAGGCAUAAUUGUUUAGCCCAAUUCGGCAGACCUAGUCCAGUUGAUGGUUGGCUAAGACCCGGUUCAAAAUGGCAUAGUUUCAUGUUUUAUCAACUGAAACCAAAACUCAAUCCCACUCAUCCAUUCCCUCAUGAUCCAACGGCUCUAAUUCAAUACACUUCCUAAUUAUUUAAAGCUUAGAAUCCCUGAAAAUUGCCCCCAUUAUCCCUUUAUUUCUUUCCUUCUUCCUCUCUUUUCACUCUCCCCUUCUCCUUCGAGACCUCGCCACCCGCCGCCCUGCUUCGCCACCAGCAAUCGCCUACUUACGGCAGCCGUCCUACAAACACCCCCAAAUUACACUGAUAUUCUCCUCUCUUCAUCAUCUACCCAUAUCUAAACCCCAAAUCCCCAAAAUCACCCCCAAUCUCCUAAAUCAACCUAAAUUUGAAUAAACCCUAGCUACCAGCACCCUCAAAUCCAGCAAGAUCUAACCUCCCGCACCCUGUAAUCCAUGCAUAAAUGGAUUGAUCUCGUUGAGAUAUAUCCUUUCCUAUAUGUUUCACCCCUAAAAUCCUUGUCGUCGUUGGCCAACCAGCCUCACUAUCGACCCUCCACUACUAUGGCACCGCUCCUCCUCUAUUAUAGCCUAAUUCCGACCCAAGAACACUCGUUUCCUUUAGGUAUGACACCAAGUUCAUUGAAUUUGGUGUCUACCAAAAUGAAAUAAGUGUUACAUGGUUAGGUAGCCACUUGUUGGCUUCUCUGACGUCUUCUUGAUCACGCCCAACUAUACUUUAUAAAAAGGACACACACACAUUGCAAAUAUAGUCUGGGUAUUAAUGCCCAGAGUUUCACUCAAAGGGCAUUAACUUAUCAAUUACUUUCUUUGGAUGUACUGAAUUCUAUGGAAUCAACUUCCCCAAAAUUUAUAAAUCACAGUUUAUGGUAUUAUUAAUAACUAAGACUGAAAGUAAAUAGACAACUGAAAACUAAUUAUGUUUGAGUUGUAAACAAUUUUGAGAAGGUUCUAAGGCUAUUAUUUCCCCUAUUGAUGGAAUCCCUUCCGGUUAUGUUUCAUAUAAAUUAACCAACACAUCUCUAUUAAUCAUGAGCACUAUAUUGACCGUAAAUAUCUCCCAAAUAAUCAGAAUAAUAUACUAGACGCACUCUCCCGAGAUACGCUAGCUAGCUUAGUUCAUUACAGCUCACGUUAUAUUUCACCCAAGGAUUUAUUAUCCCUAAUCCCGCCUUUAAACUCGCAGUUAUAGAUCUUUCUCAUACUUUGGGAGUGAUGUUAUUCAACAACUACCUAAAUAUGCACUCUCUCCCCAGUUAUGCACACUAAAUAGGCAUAGCUAAUCCCGCCUUCAAUAGGUUCCAUCAAAACCCUAGACAAAGGAUUUAGCUACUCGUAACAAAGUAAGAGAAAAAUACUAAAUUAUUCAUGAUGUAAAUAUUGCAAGAAAUAAAAAAGAUAAAGAACUAUAAUGUUUUUGGGUGAUCUCUCACACUUGUUCCUCCUCCAAACGUAAUCGAAAAACAUUUUUUUUAUCUUGGGCGAGUUUCAACAUGUUAUAAGGGUUUUACAUAAGUUUCCCUUAAUUGACACUUUGGCCCCCAAAUUUCCAGGUUCAAGAACAGUUCACCGCGGCCGGCGUGGACGACGGUGCACACUUCCCAGCUUAUUUUUGUGUUUUAUCUCCGUGCGCUGCACCGAGGUCGCGGUGGACUUUUGCCCUGGUCAUUUUCUUCUGCUCAUUUGUGUUCGUGUACUUCUUGAGUGGGUGUUUUCCUCACAUUAUCACCUCCAAACACUUCAUGUUGCUUCCUCACAUAUAAUAUUCCCUGCGAAACCGAAUAACACUAUUUAGAGCAUUUUGUUGACAAUUUACCUUAUAAAAAAACAAUAAAGCAAGAGCAAUUAAGGAGUAAAUAUCAACUAUAUAGCCUACUAUCGCUUCUGGUGGCUCGAACAGCUUCAAGCACGCUCGAUAGACAUAACAGUCAUCUCUUUAAUUUAUUUCUAAUUUUUUAGUAGUAAUAGGUCAGUUCCUGAUUUUUAGUAGUAAUUAGUUAUCUCGAUUUGAUUAAGUUGUUAGUUAGAUUGUUAUUGUUUAACGUGAUCUUUAGUUUAUUAGUUAAAUUGUUUACUUAAUUAAUCGAUUGUUUAGCUGUUGAACGUCAUCGUUCGAUUGUAAGUGAUGCUCGUCUAAUUUCUAUUUUUAGCAUUAGUUUGUGAAUUCAGUUGUUUGUUCUAUGGUUAGUUUGUACAAAUCAAUUUGUUUUAAUCUAGUUAGUUUGAGUUUUAGUUCCAUUUGAAGUAUUGUUUUUGUUUUGUCAAUUGUUAGUUGUUUGAGUUUAUUUUGGUUCAAAAUUAACACGGUGUUAUUGAUGUUGUUAAAAUAUGAAGUUUAGAUGGGUUUGAUCAUGACUUAGAGUAAUAGUAGCAUACGUUUUACUAGUAGGGUGGUUGAAAUGUCUCUUUGCUUCUGCUACAGCAGGUUUUCAAGCUGUCCGUUCAGCUUUUGGACAACCUUUGAACAAUGUAUAACAUAGAAAGUUAGUCCUUGUUGGAAAAACUUUUUGUGAACCAAUAUCUGUCCAAAAAAUGACUUUAUUUACCUAUUUAAGGGGCCUGCUCUUCCUCACUUCACACACACUCUAUCUUACACUUACACACUUCUCUAGAAUUGCUUGAACACCCAUCUUUGAAUAAAAAAUCAGCAGUUGAUUACUUUAGUAUGUUGAAAUUUGUGAGCUUUGUGAGUAACUCCUAGAGUGAAAAAUCAUUAAGAAAAUAGAGCAAUCAUUUGUCUAAGUUAUGAGUUUGUUAGUUACUAGUUUCAAGUGUCUUCACGCGAUUUUCUCAGUUGUUUCUAACACUGAUUUGCUGCUGGUUGUUACUAUUUUUCUGCUAUUUUUGCUGUUGUUUAUGCUCACUUCACUACUAUUUAUUUUUCUAUUCUCCAGGUAAUCCUUUAAGACUCGUAAUGUAUAUCUUCUCAGCAAUAUGAACAACUUGAACCUGCUGCACUAUUUAAACGUAUUUGAUAUGAUGAUAGUUUGAUAUCGACAAGGGCUUGGAUGUUCUUGUUAUGUAUCAAGCAUGUAAUAAUGUGAAUAUAGUCCUUUAUAAUACUUGAAUAUCGAGUUGUGAGCUUUUGAGUAUGAUAUGUAAGUCUUAUAUGGGGUUUUCAGUAUGCUUUCAAGCUAUUGUAUUCGGGUAAGAAUGCUAAGUAUGCAAUGAAUGAAUUUAAGGGUAUGACACAUAGCAUGUUUCUUUUUAGUUGCUAAAAUUACACUGCCGAUAUAUGUUUAUGGGAAUGCUGUAGUGAUAUCCUUGUGAAUUUGACUAUUUUUCCGGACUUGCAAAAGUUGCUAUUUUUUAAAGUGGGCGUUUAUACAAUUGUGACUAUGUAGUUAGUGGUCAUUAAUGCAAAUUGAGUAAAGAGCUAAGAUUGUAUAUUGUCUGACUUAUUGAAUCAAAUCAAAGCUGGCCUCAUUUACCUUUAAAAAACAAAAUUUCCCCUUUUCUUCUAUAUAGCUAAUUGGCCAAAUGAAUCCAUUCCGUUGGCUCAUUUUCAAUAAUAAUUCAGCUAUCCCAUAUAUUUUAGUAUUUCCAACUGGGCCAAUAAUAUUCUAGUCUACUAGCUUCCCAUUCUUUAAUGAAUCAUUAAAUUAACUCAAUGCCUUGCAAUAUCAC
Molecule: long non-coding RNA, 11993 nt
Filed under: Nicotiana benthamiana
Lineage: Eukaryota; Viridiplantae; Streptophyta; Magnoliopsida; Solanales; Solanaceae
Description: long non-coding RNA (NBEN_LNC025566)
Source: RNAcentral